GUGUGGUGAGGGGGGAACCGGAGAAGCAGAAGCAGCGUGGAUAGAUGGAUGGAGAAGCAGAAGCCGCUGGUUGAGAAGGGGCGAGGAAGCUCAACGCUGGUUGAGAAGGCUGGUUGAGUCCGUGGCGGGCCAGGGUAUCCUCAUCCUCUUGCAUUUUCUUUGUUCUGUUUAGCUCCUCCUAUUCUCUCAUAUUUCUGAGCUAAGCCUGUCUUUGCUAAUCUCUCAGAUUUUUUUUGUUUUCUGUUUUUUCAUGUUCAGGUCUUGGAGCAUCUAAGACCGGACUCCCUGUACUAUAUGAACCGUGAAUGAGAGAUGUGGAUCAGUCCGGGCAUAUAAAGGUCGUUUGAGUAGAGCGUAUCUUCAUCCUGUAGAAUGGUAUGAUUUCGCAAAUUAUGCAUGUUCAGCUUAGUGCAAAAGCAACGUGACGAUUUUUGGUCAAAAUGACUGGAGCUCCUAUUUAC
RNAcentral lists this long non-coding RNA (461 nucleotides) under Hordeum vulgare. RNAcentral describes it as "long non-coding RNA (HVUL_LNC008287)". Lineage: Eukaryota; Viridiplantae; Streptophyta; Magnoliopsida; Poales; Poaceae. The record is from RNAcentral.